Molecule: ribosomal RNA, 794 nt
Filed under: uncultured Pseudomonadota bacterium
Lineage: Bacteria; Pseudomonadati; Pseudomonadota
Description: bacterial SSU rRNA
Rfam family: Bacterial small subunit ribosomal RNA
Source: RNAcentral
UCGAACGCGAAAGUGGAGCAAUCCAUGAGUAGAGUGGCAAACGGGUGAGUAACACGUGGGUGACCUGCCUUCGAGCGGGGGAUAACGCUCCGAAAGGGACGCUAAUACCGCAUAACAUGCCGCCUUUUAACAGGUGGACAUCAAAGCUGGGGAUCGCAAGACCUAGCACUUGAAGAGGGGCCCGCGCCUGAUUAGCUAGUUGGUGGGGUAAUGGCUCACCAAGGCAACGAUCAGUAUCCGGCCUGAGAGGGCGGACGGACACACUGGGACUGAGACACGGCCCAGACUCCUACGGGAGGCAGCAGUGGGGAAUUGUUCGCAAUGGGCGCAAGCCUGACGACGCAACGCCGCGUGGAGGAUGAAGAUCUUCGGGUCGUAAACUCCUUUCGAUCGAGACGAACGGCUUCCGGGUGAACAAUCCGGAAGAGUGACGGUACCGAGAGAAGAAGCCCCGGCUAACUCCGUGCCAGCAGCCGCGGUAAUACGGGGGGGGCAAGCGUUGUUCGGAAUUACUGGGCGUAAAGGGCGCGUAGGUGGCCAACUAAGUCAGACGUGAAAUCCCUCGGCUUAACCGGGGAACUGCGUCUGAUACUGGAUGGCUUGAGUUUGGGAGAGGGACGCGGAAUUCCAGGUGUAGCGGUGAAAUGCGUAGAUAUCUGGAGGAACACCGGUGGCGAAGGCGGCGUCCUGGACCAAUACUGACACUGAAACGCGAAAGCCAGGGGAGCAAACGGGAUUAGAUACCCCGGUAGUCCUGGCCCUAAACGAUGAAUGCUUGGUGUGGCGGGUAUCGA